This 597-nucleotide long non-coding RNA is filed under the name Dasypus novemcinctus (nine-banded armadillo). RNAcentral's name for it is "lncRNA (ENSDNOG00000050094.1)". Lineage: Eukaryota; Metazoa; Chordata; Mammalia; Cingulata; Dasypodidae. The record is from RNAcentral.
GCCGCUGCUGACGUGCCAGGAAAGCAGCUAUCGCUGGGACCUGGCCUGGCUUUCCCUGGUAGCCUUGAGGAGACAGAGGAAACCUGAGUCCACAAGUGUAUCAAUGACCCUCCAGUUUGGGAAUUCCUCAUGUUCAUCUGCCGAUUAAAGUCCAGAACCUUAACAUUUUCUCACACCGUGUCGAAACCGGGUAUCUUCCAGCAAGGAUGAAAGAGAACAUUGGUUCAGAAGAAUGGAGAAGGGUUUGCCACCAAUCAGCCACAAGGAACUCAAUCUCCGAGUAAAAUUAAAGGCACAAAUUCCCACUUCACCAACCCCCUUGAGGCAAAGAAGUCGUCACCGUGGUGAUGAGGAAUUCAUCCCAUUGAGAAUGAGAUUCAAAGUGUGGUGAGUACUCCAGCAGGCUACCGGUUAUGUUUCUUUCAAAAGCUUCUCUGGUCUUCUGGAAUGGCAAGAGUUGACUACCCAUGAGAAACCAACCCAGAUUCCUUGGAACCCGUGGGCCAGGUUAGGCUCCCCCCACCUAACAAGUGCCACUUUUCAGUCCUAUCUACCCUCUAGCUGUUGCCUUUAUCAUGGGUGCCACUUCAAUCAAUA